GACGAACGCUGGCGGCGUGCUUAACACAUGCAAGUCGAACGGACAGGUCCUGCUCUUGUUCGUUUCUCGUUUGGCGAACGCGUGUGUAUCACGUGUGUAUCCUGCCCUUGUCUUUGUGAUAACUUCACGAAACUGGGGCUCAUACCCGAUAUGAGCUCCUGCUCCAUGGUGUUGUUUGGUAAGUUUCGGCGGUUCUGGCUGGUCUCGCGGCUUAUCAGCUUGAUUGUGUGGUAGUGGCUUACCCAGGCUUAGACGGAUACCCGGCCUGAGAGGCUGGCCGGGCACAUGGGGACUGAGAUACGGCGCAGACGCGUACGGGAGGCAGCAGUGGGGAAUAUGGCAGAAUGGGGGGAAGCCUGAGGCAGCAACGCCGCGUGCGGGAUGACGGGCUUCGAGGGGUAAACCGCUUUCGAAUGUGACGAAGCGGGAGUGACGGUAAUGGGUAAAGAAGCAACGGCUAACUACGUG
This 468-nucleotide ribosomal RNA is filed under the name uncultured bacterium. RNAcentral describes it as "partial 16S ribosomal RNA". It matches the Rfam family "Bacterial small subunit ribosomal RNA", at positions 28 to 507 of the family's 1533-position model. The record is from RNAcentral.